AUUGAACGCUGGCGGCAGGCCUAACACAUGCAAGUCGAGCGGAUGAAGGGAGCUUGCUCCUGGAUUCAGCGGCGGACGGGUGAGUAAUGCCUAGGAAUCUGCCUGGUAGUGGGGUAUAACGUCCGGAAACGGGCGCUAAUACCGCAUACGUCCUGAGGGAGAAAGUGGGGGAUCUUCGGACCUCACGCUAUCAUAUGAGCCUAGGUCGGAUUAGCUAGUUGGUGGGGUAAAGGCCUACCAAGGCGACGAUCCGUAACUGGUCUGAGAGGAUGAUCAGUCACACUGGAACUGAGACACGGUCCAGACUCCUACGGGAGGCAGCAGUGGGGAAUAUUGGACAAUGGGCGAAAGCCUGAUCCAGCCAUGCCGCGUGUGUGAAGAAGGUCUUCGGAUUGUAAAGCACUUUAAGUUGGGAGGAAGGGCAGUAAGUUAAUACCUUGCUGUUUUGACGUUACCAACAGAAUAAGCACCGGCUAACUUCGUG
Molecule: ribosomal RNA, 484 nt
Filed under: uncultured bacterium
Lineage: Bacteria
Description: partial 16S ribosomal RNA
Rfam family: Bacterial small subunit ribosomal RNA
Source: RNAcentral